UGAGGAAUAUUGGUCAAUGGGCGCAAGCCUGAACCAGCCAUGCCGCGUGAAGGAAGAAGGCCCUAAGGGUUGUAAACUUCUUUUGUACGGGGGUAAUUUACGGAUCGUGAUCUGUAUUGAAAGUACUGUACGAAUAAGCGUCGGCUAACUACGUGCCAGCAGCCGCGGUAAUACGUAGGACGCAAGCGUUAUCCGGAUUCAUUGGGUUUAAAGGGUGCGUAGGCGGGCCUUUAAGUCAGUGGUGAAAGUUUGCCGCUUAACGGUAAGAUUGCCAUUGAUACUGGAGGCCUUGAGUGCAGAUGAGGUAGGCGGAAUGUGUAGUGUAGUGGUGAAAUACUUAGAUAUUACACAGAACACCGAUUGCGAAGGCAGCUUACUAAAUUGCAACUGACGCUGAGGCACGAAAGCGUGGGGAUCAAACA
This 422-nucleotide ribosomal RNA is filed under the name uncultured bacterium. Its description in RNAcentral is "bacterial SSU rRNA". It matches the Rfam family "Bacterial small subunit ribosomal RNA", at positions 355 to 774 of the family's 1533-position model. The record is from RNAcentral.